GAGAGAUAAGCAUUGUUAGGGUGUGCAUCCAGUUUGAACCUGGAAGGGGGGGGUGUGAGUCCGCCAUCUCUUA
RNAcentral lists this transfer RNA (73 nucleotides) under Homonota fasciata (South American marked gecko). RNAcentral describes it as "tRNA-Ser". The record is from RNAcentral. Lineage: Eukaryota; Metazoa; Chordata; Lepidosauria; Squamata; Phyllodactylidae.